RNAcentral lists this ribosomal RNA (438 nucleotides) under uncultured bacterium. RNAcentral describes it as "bacterial SSU rRNA". It matches the Rfam family "Bacterial small subunit ribosomal RNA", at positions 339 to 794 of the family's 1533-position model. The record is from RNAcentral.
CUACGGGAGGCAGCAGUGGGGAAUAUUGGACAAUGGGCGCAAGCCUGAUCCAGCCAUGCCGCGUGAGUGAUGAAGGCCCUAGGGUUGUAAAGCUCUUUCGCCAGGGACGAUAAUGACGGUACCUGGAUAAGAAGCCCCGGCUAACUUCGUGCCAGCAGCCGCGGUAAUACGAAGGGGGCUAGCGUUGUUCGGAAUCACUGGGCGUAAAGCGCACGUAGGCGGAUCUUUAAGUCAGGGGUGAAAUCCCGAGGCUCAACCUCGGAACUGCCUUUGAUACUGGAGGUCUCGAGUCCGGGAGAGGUGAGUGGAACUGCGAGUGUAGAGGUGAAAUUCGUAGAUAUUCGCAAGAACACCAGUGGCGAAGGCGGCUCACUGGCCCGGAACUGACGCUGAGGUGCGAAAGCGUGGGGAGCAAACAGGAUUAGAUACCCCGGUAGC